GUGGGCUCAUUAUAUUAGUCAUUUCCAGGGAAAUUAUUGGGUAUGUUGUGUAUUUUAAUUUGUUGAUAAGUAAUAUGAGCAUGCUGCAAAACCAUGUGAAAGGGCCCUUAUCACAUGGGACUAAAUAUAGUCCACUAGGACAACUAACCUACAAAGUAUAUUGCAAGCAACCACUAUAAAUAUAACUUUUUUAGUGCAGACUUCAGAACAAGAACAUUGAGUAAUGAGUGUAACUUUUGACAUACAUAUUGAAUUACUUGCACUCUCAAAGCUGUAUAUUUUAUUUUUAGAAAAGCUGUACAUGGAGUCUUUCCGAGGAUCGGAUUAUUCAAAGUAAUUUUAAGAAGAAGGCAUCUUCUCUAUUGUCAUGCAUGUUUUAUUAAGCUCGAAGUAACGGACGGCGGCCUGGAUGGCAUGGGUCAGAUUAUUGGGAUAAACUUAUUGUAUACUGACAGUCUCCGGAAUUUCAAAAGAAGAGCAACCAGACAAAGGUAGCUCGAAAGUCCAAGAAGGGUGGCUUAUUGCACACGUGUGGUUCGGUGUCUAUGGGGACAGCUAAGAGGGAAAUUGGAAGCAUAUCUUGGUAGACCAGCCACUCGUGAAGAGGUAUAGAAGAAGACCCAUAUGAAACUUAGAGAUGGAAAAGAAGUUUGGGUUGAGACACGGGUAGAGGACACCUAUAAUCGAUACAUUCAAGCAAUUGAAGAGUUAAAAAAGAAUCAGCCGAUAGAUGAUCAAGGCAAUCCAAUCAUGCUAUCAGAGGAGGAAACUCUCUUCUGCUGGCUGGAUGUAGUUGGCGGUGUGUAUAAGGGAAGGGCAUACGGUCUUUGCUCCGAGAAGAACUUUCAUCGCCUCCAGUGUGGAUUGCAAGGUAUAGGGGGCUCUGUCACCAUGCUAGAUGAGCAGCUUGAGGAGACGCAACAGGAAGUUCGGGAGCUUGCUAGGAAAUACUAGGAAAUACGAGGAGGAACGAAAAAGAAGGAUGGAUGAAGAGCGACGUAGGACGACACUUGAGUCAGACGUCCAAGAACUCAAGGAUCAAGUAAAUAUGUUAAUCAAGCUUCCUCGUUCUCCGCCCCCUAGCUCUGAUGAUGAUGGCGAAGAUGAUGAGGAUAAUGGAGAGGAUGAAAUGGAUUAUUAGGUGGUGUUUUAGUUUUGGAUUCCGAUAAUUUGGAGAGUUUGAAACUAUGUAUUUUGCUACUUGUUUGUAUACUUUUUUUAUACUUGUUUGGAUAUUAUUUAAGUUGGAUGAAUAUGUGUGAAGUUGGUUGCUUAAUUUUUAAUGUUUGAAUUAUUUCGGAA
Capsicum annuum is the source of this 1302-nucleotide long non-coding RNA. RefSeq lists it as uncharacterized. Lineage: Eukaryota; Viridiplantae; Streptophyta; Magnoliopsida; Solanales; Solanaceae. The record is from RefSeq and is a predicted model, not a curated record. The transcript is spliced from 3 exons.